Molecule: ribosomal RNA, 204 nt
Filed under: uncultured bacterium
Lineage: Bacteria
Description: partial 16S ribosomal RNA
Rfam family: Bacterial small subunit ribosomal RNA
Source: RNAcentral
CACGUAGGCGGCCUGUUAAGUCAGAUGUGAAAGCCCCGGGCUCAACCUGGGAAUUGCAUUUGAUACUGGCGAGCUUGAGUCUGAUAGAGGGGGUGGAAUUCCAGGUGUAGCGGUGAAAUGCGUAGAUAUCUGGAGGAACACCAGUGCGAAGGCGGCCCCUGGAUCAAGACUGACGCUGAGGUGCGAAAGCGUGGGGAGCAAACA